GACGAACGCUGGCGGCGUGCUUAAUACAUGCAAGUCAACUUGACUUUAGAUAGCAAUAUCGAAAAGUAGGGUGGCGCACGGGUGCGUAACGCGUAGGUAAUCUGCCCUGAGGUCUGACAUAACCCGUCGAAAGGCGGGCUAACAUCAGAUGAUAUAUAAUCACGACAUCGUGGAAAUAUCAAAUCUUCGGAGCCUUGGGAUGAGCCCGCGUCUGAUUAGGUAGUUGGCGGAGUAAUAGCCCACCAAGCCUACGAUCAGUAGCUGGUCUGAGAGGAUGAUCAGUCACACUGGAACUGAGACACGGUCCAGACUCCUACGGGAGGCAGCAGUAAGGAAUAUUGCUCAAUGGGGGAAACCCGUAGAAGCAGCAACG
This 373-nucleotide ribosomal RNA is filed under the name uncultured bacterium. RNAcentral's name for it is "bacterial SSU rRNA". It matches the Rfam family "Bacterial small subunit ribosomal RNA", at positions 28 to 396 of the family's 1533-position model. The record is from RNAcentral.